GCGACAGUGCCUCCUACGGCAAAAAAUGAUUUAACAUCAUAUUCAAAGAAUCCAGGUUUCGAGGUCUUAGACUAGAUCAGUCAUCUCACCUCCGCCUGUUAUUACGAAUCUGUGAGCUUGCACGUAUUUUCGGUGGGCGGUAGAGCCAUACCCCAAUCACAGAUUGCGAAAUGCUAAAAUUUAGCGCGACUUAAAACGUCAAAAGCUUAAAAUGCGUAUUUUAUCUUAUCACAGCACAAACAAGCUCUGGAGAUUCGUUUCAGCUUAUGAACGAACUCAAACGUCAUGGGUCAGCUCAACAACCCGCAAUCAGCUCCCAAGCUGUGUUUCAUGCGGAGAUCUAACUCUCCGUUUUCACUUUAACUUAUCGGUUUGCAGAGAAGCUCUCAAACUCUGUUUUAAGCUUAAGUAAUAUACUUGACCAGCCAGUUCGUAGACAAGCCAUUUCAUUUCAGAAAGAGCUCCCAGCUCACACCUCGGUUCGUCAGCUCGAUUACAAACUAUGUAUCAGCUAAAGGAUCUCGAAUACCCAAACUCCGCUCGAGAACAGAUCCUAAAAUUUUUGUUUGGCUCGAGAAAAAUACUUAAACUCCCUUGAAUUUUAAAGCGAGUGUGAUUCAAACCGUCUAUGAAAACAAAUCGAGACCCCGUAUCAGUUUACAAACAAUUGUUAUGUCUUGACCAGAUUUAAAAGCUUACCUUUUAUGGUGGUCUUUUGAGGUAGGCAUUGGCACCGCCUCCUGCACUUAAUAGACUUCGCUUUUGCGACAGAUCGACAGUCAUUCGCCACAAAACAAACAGACUUCAUCCAGAGAAGCUCUCAAACGAUGUUCAAACCUUCCAGCUCAUACAUGCCAGUUAAACCCAUUACUUAUCUCGAGAACAAUUCUCAAGCUCCAGAAGAUAAGUAAUUUGAGGUCGGCAGUGACAGCACCUCUCAAGCUGGAAAGAGAAUUUCUUCGUCUUCAAAGAACUUAGCAUUUGCGUUUGUUCGACGAAGUCGGUUAUUACACCUCCGCAUGUUCCUAAGAAUCUGCGUGCUUACACGCAUUUUCGGUGGGCGGUAGGGCCAUACCCCAAUCAUAGAUUGCGAAAUGCUAUACGUUAGCGCAUCUUGAUCUAUCCGAUCAAAGAAAAAAAAGAAAAUCAAAGCUAACUCUACCUAGCUCGUAUCUGUUUUAGAUAUUCAAUACCUAUCGAAACAGGAAUCACCAAAAUCAAAAUAAUCACAAAGAUCCAAUAAAACAAAAAACGGAGCUGGGAGUAGGCAUCGUCCACUUGCCAUAAGCCGCCACCAACUAUUCUCCCUUAUGGAUGAUUUCUUCGAGUUAAUACACUCGCGAAUCCAAAUAUCAGGAAGAAGACAAAAUUUCAACUAACCUUGGAAUCUUCCACGAAAGAAAAUGUUGUUCGUAACUCAA
RNAcentral lists this long non-coding RNA (1421 nucleotides) under Eutrema salsugineum. RNAcentral describes it as "long non-coding RNA (ESAL_LNC000893)". The record is from RNAcentral. Lineage: Eukaryota; Viridiplantae; Streptophyta; Magnoliopsida; Brassicales; Brassicaceae.